GCUUCCAUAGCUCAGUUGGUUAGAGCGUCGUACUAAUAAUGCGAAGGUCGCAGGUUCAAUCCCUGCUGGGAGCA
This 74-nucleotide transfer RNA is filed under the name Beauveria bassiana. RNAcentral describes it as "tRNA-Leu". It matches the Rfam family "tRNA". Rfam says of the family: Transfer RNA (tRNA) molecules are approximately 80 nucleotides in length. Their secondary structure includes four short double-helical elements and three loops (D, anti-codon, and T loops). RNAcentral also lists the same sequence under 1 other name. The record is from RNAcentral. Lineage: Eukaryota; Fungi; Ascomycota; Sordariomycetes; Hypocreales; Cordycipitaceae.